Long non-coding RNA from Tachysurus fulvidraco (yellow catfish), 536 nucleotides. RefSeq lists it as uncharacterized. The record is from RefSeq and is a predicted model, not a curated record. Lineage: Eukaryota; Metazoa; Chordata; Actinopteri; Siluriformes; Bagridae. The transcript has 2 exons.
CGUGCCUCAGGGGUUUCCUCCGGGCACCUCGGUUUCCUCCCCCGGUCCAAAGACAUGCAUGGACUUGGCACCUGCACACCAUGGGAUCCCUAUUCUUAAUUGGCCAGAAACUCGCCUGACCUUAACCCCAUAGAACAUCUAUGGUGUAUUGUGAAGCGGACGAUGCGAUAUGCCAGACCCAACAAUGCAGAAGAGCUGAAGGCCACGAUCAGAGCAACCUGGGCUCUCAUAACACCUGAGCAGUGCCACGGACUGAUCGACUCCAUGCCACGCCGCAUUGCUGCAGUAAUUCAGGAGCCCCAACUAAGUAUUGAGUGCUGGACAUGUUUUCACUUGGCCCAGAUUUCUAAAAAUCCUUUCUUUGUAUUGGUCUUAAGUAAUAUUCAAAUUUUCUGAGAUACUUAAUUUGGGAUUUUCAAAGUUAAAAUAACUUAUAACGUUUGAAAUAUAUCAGUCUGUGUGUAUGAAUGAAUAUAAUAUACAGGUUUCACUUUUUGAAUGGAAUUAGUGAAAUAAAUCAAAUUUUGAUGAUAUUA